This is a long non-coding RNA of Pistacia vera, 502 nucleotides long. RefSeq lists it as uncharacterized. The record is from RefSeq and is a predicted model, not a curated record. The transcript has 2 exons. Lineage: Eukaryota; Viridiplantae; Streptophyta; Magnoliopsida; Sapindales; Anacardiaceae.
GAUCACUGCCCAGCUACCAAGCUAAAGCAUGGCCAAGUCUGUCCAGUUUUUUGCACUCUUCUUCAUCCUCAUCCUCGUUGCAAACUGGGAGAUGACGGAAGUGGAAGCAAAAAUUUGCGAGAAAGCGAGCCAAACAUGGUCGGGGAAAUGCAAGAACACAAGCCAUUGUGAUAAACAAUGCAAGACGUGGGAGGAUGCUAGGCAUGGAGCUUGUCAUAACAAAGGUGGAUGGAAAUGCUUCUGCUAUUUCAAUUGCAAAUGAAACCCGAUCGGAUUUUUGCCCCAUUUCGUGUUCUGAAAUUGUGUGUUCUAUGUUGUGUUUCUUGUUACAAUAAAACUAGUUAGCUGGCUAAAUAUGGCCAGUUGCUAGUGGCAGCUAAUAAAAUUGUUUCUCUUGAAACUUCUUCUUGUGCCGUGAAGUUGCUGAUUGUUCUUCAUCAAGUUCUCUUUGUCAAGGUUUUAUGGUUGAAAUUUAUAUAUAUAUAUGAAGUAUUAUUAAUCA